CCCCAAGUUAAGGUAAAGCCAAAUCUCCUCACACUUUUUCAAACACCCACAUCCCACCAUCCGACAGACUUGCUCAGGCCCUACCACCUUGCACUCCCAAAACCAAAAUAAAAAAAAAAGCUUCGGACCCUCCUUCACUUCCACAGCUUGCUUAUUCAUUCGCUCUCUCUCGCAGCACAGCCCGCAAUAUCCAUCGCUAGCGCUCUUGGACCAGGAGUUUUCAUGAACCCUCGCCGCAAGCUUUCGAACCUUUGUAUGUUUUAGUUCGCGCCCGAGUGUCGGUCGACCCACGUCACUUUUUCCCCCUGUUUUUCGGAGACCCUCUCCGCCGUCUCCACCCACUUCCCUUGUUGGGGUGCUGGGGACCGGGAGUCCUCCGGAAGGCCCACAGGGGGAAAAAAUGGGCGAUCGGUUCACAAAGGCGCUGCGGCUGAAAUUUACACAGCGGAGAAACACAUUAUUAUAGCAGCAGCCAAAGCUUGUUACUGAAAUGAAAGAAUUCUAAAAAACAGUUUUUUGAAUGCCCUCAAGUCACAAAAGAGAAUUUGAUUUCCUCGUGAGGGAUGAUUAUCGGACCGUUCUUGUCUGGACUGGCUUCGUUGCGUUGCAUGUUUGGUGUGUGGUGUUUCGCUUGAUUCGUCUUGAUGAUUCCCCUUCGACCCGACGGGCUGGAUCAACAUGCUGCUGGUUUUGCUGGUGUUCGAUUAUUAUGGAAUAUAUCUGCGGCCUACUACUGCUGGAUGGAUGAAGUGAAGUGGAACAAAAUCGCAGGAACCA
Long non-coding RNA from Aedes aegypti (yellow fever mosquito), 777 nucleotides. RefSeq lists it as uncharacterized. NCBI's taxonomy places the organism in Eukaryota, Metazoa, Arthropoda, Insecta, Diptera, Culicidae. The record is from RefSeq and is a predicted model, not a curated record. The transcript is spliced from 2 exons.